UACGGAGGGGGCUAGCGUUGUUCGGAAUUACUGGGCGUAAAGCGCACGUAGGCGGCUUUGUAAGUUAGAGGUGAAAGCCCGGGGCUCAACUCCGGAAUUGCCUUUAAGACUGCAUCGCUCGAAUUGUGGAGAGGUAAGUGGAAUUCCGAGUGUAGAGGUGAAAUUCGUAGAUAUUCGGAAGAACACCAGUGGCGAAGGCGACUUACUGGACACAUAUUGACGCUGAGAUGCGAAAGCGUGGGGAGCAAACAGG
Molecule: ribosomal RNA, 253 nt
Filed under: uncultured bacterium
Lineage: Bacteria
Description: partial 16S ribosomal RNA
Rfam family: Bacterial small subunit ribosomal RNA
Source: RNAcentral